RNAcentral lists this long non-coding RNA (2975 nucleotides) under Salmo salar (Atlantic salmon). Its description in RNAcentral is "lncRNA (ENSSSAG00000100351.1)". Lineage: Eukaryota; Metazoa; Chordata; Actinopteri; Salmoniformes; Salmonidae. The record is from RNAcentral.
GCAGUUAUAGCAUUAAGGGCAUGGGCGACAUGGUCUUUGUCUCUUACAAAAAGAGUAGUAUCAUCAGCCAGUUGGGAAAUGUUGAUUUCUUUGUUAGAAAUGGUUAAGCCAUACACAUUUGCAUUAUUCAGAAUAUCUAGAGAUAGAAGUUCCACAACCAAAAUGAAUAAAAAUUGGGCAUCCCUGUCGUACACUUCCGUUGAUACUGAAUCUUUUGGAAGUAUUAAGGUUUAGUAACACAGAACUAUUUAUAUCUUUGUAAAACAUGCAAAUUACUUUGAUAAAAUGUUCACCGAAUCCAAAAAGUUUAAGAGACCUAAAGAGAAAUUAAUGUUCAAUUGGGUCAAAGGCUUUACAGAAGUCCAGAAAUAAGACAACCGCAUCUGAGUCAAUUUCAUCUGAAUAUUCUAUAAGGUCCAAGACUAAACGAAUGUUAGAGCUUAUGUGACGGCCCUUCAUAAAUCCUGUUUGAGUCUCAUUUAUAAUGCAAUCUAUUCCUUUCUUUAAACUUUUGGCAUAAACCAGAGCAAUCAAUUUGUAAUCAAUAUUUAAUAAAGAAAUUGGUCUCCAAUUGUCAAUGAGACAAGGGUCUUUAUCGGGCUUCGGAAUCAAUGAAAUAAGGCCUUGUUUCAUAGUGGAGACCAUUUCUCCACUUUUAACGCAAUCUUGAAACAUAUUAAAAAUCGGGUCUUCUAGUAACUCCCCAAACUGUCUACAGAAUUCAACUGACAGGCCAUCAGGACCAGGGGAUUUCCCUUUUUUCAUUGAAUUCAGAGCCUCUUUAAUUUCUACAAUUGUCACAGGUCAAUUGCAAACUGAGUGGAAAUCAUCCUCAAUUACAGGGACAUAAUUCUGAAUGUGGCAAAUGUAGCUUUCACAACCAUCUUCCUGAAAUUGAGAGCUGUAAAGGUUUUCAUAAAAGGAAUUGACAAAUGAUGAUAUUGUAAUGGGAUCUUUGCAUAAAACAUUGUUAAUUUUGAGUGCAGUUAUAGAUUUUCUUUUGUAGUUUCUCUUUUCAAGUGCAAAAAAGUAACUAGUGUUUCUUUCCCACUCGUCAAUCCAUUUUGCUCUUGACCUUACAAAGGCACCCUUUGCCAGAUCCGUGUAAAGCUGUUCUAAUUCUAGUUGUAAAGACUUGGAUACAGACUCCUCUUCUUCAGAUAGAUUGUCUUUCUUUAGAAAACUGUCAAGUUUGCUCAUCAUCUCUUUUUCUCUAAGGUUCUUUAAUUGUAUCAGCUCUUCGGCGCGUUUAAUGGCUACCACUCUGACUUUAUAUUCAAACAAUUCCCAUCUACUUCCAUGACCCAAGUCUUUUAAUGCAAAAAUAUAUUUAGCUUACGAUUUGAUGUUUUCAAUGAGAGUAGUAUCUUUAAGAAGUGUUUGUUUAAUUUCCAAUAUUUCUAAUAUACCUUUUGGUUUUUUAGUAGCUUGUAAAUUCAGGGAAAUCAAGUGAUGAUCAGAAAAGGGGGCCAGCUGAUUAUCUACAUCUAUAACAAAUUGUAACAAAAAGGGUGAAAUCAGGAAUAAAUCUAUUCUAGAUUUACGUUACAUAGUUUUGUUGGUCCAGGUAUAACCCCUUGCAUCUGGAUUGAAAUAACGCCAGGCAUCCUCAACACAGAGAUCCUUGCAUAAAGUAGUGAUAAUAUUGCUAUUUUGAGGGCUUUGACUCAUUCUAGGAAGAAAACGAUCAGCAGAUGCAUCAGGUGUUUCAUUAAAAAAAACAUAAAUAAUUAGAAAAGCCUCUGAGUAUUUGAUGCUUAAAUCCUGUACUUUCCUGGUAAGUUGGGUAAAAAGGGUCUUAUUUGGAGCAUGUGAGUUAUGUCCGUAUACAUUACAAAUGAUGAAAAUAGCAUUGUCAAGUUUAAGAGUUACUAUGACCCAUCUCCCAUCUUGUGAAGAUGUGGAUUCUAGAACGUCACCUUUAAACUUGUGAAUAAGUGUCAAAACACCAGCAGAAUGAUUUGAUCCAUGACUGAAAUAGGCCAUAUCUCCCCAUUGUGCUUUCCAACAUUUCAAAUCACUUUCACCCGAAUGAGUUUCCUGAAGGACAAAAUCUGCGUUACUGCGUUUACAAUAUAAAAAUAAAGCUUUCCUUUUUGUAAGAUUUCUCAAACACCUAGCAUUCAGACUAACGAUAUUGAGUGAAUUGAAAACGAACUCCUGCAUUAAAAAAUAACACAAAUUAGAUAACAGAAGUAGUAAUGUGAACAAUAAAACAAACAGUGAACCUUGAGAGGGUUACUUCGAUGGAAAACUACACUCAGCUGAGGUAGCGGUGGUUAACAGUAUAAUAAAUCUAUUUACUUCCUUUUUUUUUAAUUUUUUUUAUUUGGCAAGUGUUCAUCAGUUGUAGUUCGAACAGUACAUUUAUUCGUGGUAGUACAUUAACUGUACUCUUGGCAGUUCCAGUUUGGUUAAUGUCAACAGAGUUACCCAGUAAUCAUUCUUCAUUCGAUAAACGCGUGUGGGCCCUUGAACCCAGCCUUCUUUCCCUCUUGUCGAGCCUUCUGUAUAAGCGGCCAGUUUCUCCCUGGAAGCCUGGUCCUGCGGUAUCAGAGCUUCUUUGAUGCGGAGCUUCUUCUCAUCCAGAAACGUGUUCCCCUUGGCCAUUCUCCAGAUGAUGUCCCUGUAAUGGCGCAGAGUUAAGCGCAAGAUGAUAUUGCGAGGGGGUCCAUCAGAUCUUUGUUUCCCAAGUCGAUGUACCACAUCAAUCACGUCUCUUAGCCUGUCUUUGAUGCACGGAGCCACCUUUCCCAGGAUAUUAAUACAUGUUUCCCUAAUAUCCUCUCCCUCUUUUACACCUUGGAUUUUCAGAUUCCACCUGCGAGAGUACCUUUGAAGUUCAGCUACAUUCUCACACAGCUCAUUAUUUGGGAUUGUAUUUUCUUCAACUCAUUCUCUAGGAACGUUAUAUUUUGCCGACGUUUACUGACACAUUCAACCGUUGUUGCUGGAACACUUGGAUGAGAGUGCUC